UGGGGAAUAUUGGACAAUGGGCGAAAGCCUGAUCCAGCCAUGCCGCGUGUGUGAAGAAGGUCUUCGGAUUGUAAAGCACUUUAAGUUGGGAGGAAGGGCAGUAAGCGAAUACCUUGCUGUUUUGACGUUACCGACAGAAUAAGCACCGGCUAACUCUGUGCCAGCAGCCGCGGUAAUACAGAGGGUGCAAGCGUUAAUCGGAAUUACUGGGCGUAAAGCGCGCGUAGGUGGUUCGUUAAGUUGAAUGUGAAAGCCCCGGGCUCAACCUGGGAACUGCAUCCAAAACUGGCGAGCUAGAGUAGGGCAGAGGGUGGUGGAAUUUCCUGUGUAGCGGUGAAAUGCGUAGAGAUAGGAAGGAACCCCAGUGGCGAAGGCGACCACCUGGGCUCAUACUGACACUGAGGUGCGAAAGCGUGGGGAGCAAACAGG
RNAcentral lists this ribosomal RNA (429 nucleotides) under Pseudomonadota bacterium. RNAcentral's name for it is "Proteobacteria bacterium partial 16S ribosomal RNA". It matches the Rfam family "Bacterial small subunit ribosomal RNA", at positions 355 to 776 of the family's 1533-position model. Lineage: Bacteria; Pseudomonadati; Pseudomonadota. The record is from RNAcentral.